CCUACGGGGGGCAGCAGUGGGGAAUAUUGGACAAUGGGGGGAACCCUGAUCCAGCCAUGCCGCGUGUGUGAAGAAGGCCCUCGGGUUGUAAAGCACUUUCAGUGAGGAAGAACGCCUGGUGGUUAAUACCCAUCAGGAAAGACAUCACUCACAGAAGAAGCACCGGCUAACUCCGUGCCAGCAGCCGCGGAAUACGGAGGGUGCGAGCGUUAAUCGGAAUUACUGGGCGUAAAGCGCGCGUAGGUGGCUUGAUAAGCCGGUUGUGAAAGCCCCGGGCUCAACCUGGGAACGGCAUCCGGAACUGUCAAGCUAGAGUGCAGGAGAGGAAGGUAGAAUUCCCGGUGUAGCGGUGAAAUGCGUAGAGAUCGGGAGGAAUACCAGUGGCGAAGGCGGCCUUCUGGACUGACACUGACACUGAGGUGCGAAAGCGUGGGUAGCAAACAGGAUUAGAUACCCUAGUAGUC
RNAcentral lists this ribosomal RNA (464 nucleotides) under Vreelandella stevensii. RNAcentral describes it as "partial 16S ribosomal RNA". It matches the Rfam family "Bacterial small subunit ribosomal RNA", at positions 338 to 795 of the family's 1533-position model. Lineage: Bacteria; Pseudomonadati; Pseudomonadota; Gammaproteobacteria; Oceanospirillales; Halomonadaceae. The record is from RNAcentral.